This 368-nucleotide unclassified non-coding RNA is filed under the name soil metagenome. Its description in RNAcentral is "partial contains 5.8S ribosomal RNA, internal transcribed spacer 2, and large subunit ribosomal RNA". The stretch from base 1 to 120 matches the Rfam family "5.8S ribosomal RNA", at positions 35 to 154 of the family's 154-position model. The record is from RNAcentral.
GAUGAAGAACGUAGCGAAAUGCGAUAAGUAAUGUGAAUUGCAGAAUUCAGUGAACCAUCGAAUCUUUGAACGCACAUUGCGCCCGGCAGUAAUCUGCCGGGCAUGCCUGUCCGAGCGUCAUUUCUGCCCUCGAGCGAGUCCAGCAUCUAGGUGCUGGGCCCGCCCGGCGUUGGGGCACUACGGGAAGCCCUGUGCUGUCCCCCGUAGGCCCCGAAAUGAAGUGGCGGUCCUGACGCGGCGCCCCCUGCGUAGUAUAACAGCUCGCUUCGGGACCCGGUGGAGGACUGCCGUCAAACCUUACUCUCUAAGUUUGACCUCGGAUCAGGUAGGGUUACCCGCUGAACUUAAGCAUAUCAAUAAGCGGAGGA